RNAcentral lists this ribosomal RNA (474 nucleotides) under Triticum aestivum (bread wheat). RNAcentral's name for it is "partial small subunit ribosomal RNA". Lineage: Eukaryota; Viridiplantae; Streptophyta; Magnoliopsida; Poales; Poaceae. The record is from RNAcentral.
GAAAAUAGAAGGAAAACACACUGGCUCGCUUGGGAUAAACUAACCAGACCAAAAGGAGAGGGCGGUAUAGGUUCUCGUGAUCUUAGACUGUUUAAUCAACCUUUCCUUGCAAAGCAGGCUUGGCGGAUUUUGGUGUUUCGAGAGUCGUUAGUUGCAAGGGUGUUGAAAGCCAAGUAUUAUCAUGGACAUCUACUGGACACUGUGUUUCCACAGUCGACAUCGGUUACAUGGCAAGGUAUUAUGCAUGGUUUGGAUUUGCUUAAACAAGGUGUUAUUCGGAAAGUGGUCGAUGAAACAAAUAUUAAUAUUUGGAGAGAUAAUUGGCUGCCUAGGAAAUCCGGCCUUAAAAUUUUGGAAAGGAAGAGCAGAACAAGGAAUAAAUGGGUGUCUGACUUAUUCUUGAGCGGCCCGAGAAACUGGGAUCAGAAUUUGGUAAAACAUGUUUUCUAUCCUCAUGAUGCUGAGAGAUCCUAA